RNAcentral lists this long non-coding RNA (219 nucleotides) under Gossypium raimondii (Peruvian cotton). RNAcentral describes it as "long non-coding RNA (GRAI_LNC001407)". Lineage: Eukaryota; Viridiplantae; Streptophyta; Magnoliopsida; Malvales; Malvaceae. The record is from RNAcentral.
CGACGACAACAAUAGAGGAAAGGAAAAAAAUUAAAAUCAAAGAGAAUGAGAGGAGGAGAGGAAUGGCUAGGGAAAUGAGGAGGAGGAUUAAAGGCUGAUUAUUAGUGAAAAAUUAAUAUUUAUACCUAGGUUAACUAGGCUUGGAUGGCCCACACAUUACAACAAGGGUUUUUUGUCAAAAAAUUAAAUUAUUUGCAUGGGAAGGGAAUUGAAGUUGGG